CGGAACACAUUUCAAUGGUUUGUUUUUUUCCCCCCAUUUUUCGUAACUUUUUCAGUUGUCCAGGCACCAUAAAUCGCUCAAACAUGGCAAGCAAAGUAAAACAAAUUGAAAGGGGACCAGGGCCCAAGGACUACAAAAAAUGCAGCAAGCUAAACAAAAAGCGGGAGAGAGAUGGAAAUGAAAAGCUCACAAAAUGGAGUCGUAAAGCAAAUGGAGCGGACACACACAUACACAGACGCUCGGUUUCCGGUAGCCCUGCAUGCAUAUGCAACCAUAUUUAUGAUGCACCCGCCACGCCCACUUAAAUGGGCGGACACGGGAAUCGAAAGAUUUCAUCGUACAAGAUUUAAGUUUUCCAAGCAAAUGUGUAACUUUGAAAAUAAACUUUAACUUCGAUUUGGAUUUAAACGACAAACAUCGCUAUUUGGAUGUUCCCUGCUUAAAGGUUUAAAAAAAGGAUUAUGAAGAACCCUCAAGAGCAAAGAUUCGCUUCCAUAAGACUGUUGAUAUAUCCAAAAUCAAAGCAUCCCAAAUAUAUUAUAAAUUUAUAA
Drosophila santomea is the source of this 551-nucleotide long non-coding RNA. RefSeq lists it as uncharacterized. NCBI's taxonomy places the organism in Eukaryota, Metazoa, Arthropoda, Insecta, Diptera, Drosophilidae. The record is from RefSeq and is a predicted model, not a curated record. The transcript is spliced from 2 exons.